Molecule: long non-coding RNA, 483 nt
Organism: Drosophila ananassae
Lineage: Eukaryota; Metazoa; Arthropoda; Insecta; Diptera; Drosophilidae
Exons: 2
Source: RefSeq, a predicted model, not a curated record
CCGCCCCCGCCGCCGCCGCCGCCGGUCAACUGAUCCGACCAGCCGCUAUUCGAGGACACCAACUCGUCCGGCAGGUUCUCCUCCAGGAACAAGGAGAUGUCCGUGGUCACUAGGAGAUAUGAGAGAUGAGAUAAGCCGCGGCGCGUAGCAAGGAACGAAAUGGAAAUAGCCAUAGGUUGGCGGAACGGAGAAAACGGGGGAAGAAGUAACUGGAACGGUACGAGAAUUCUCCGUUUCUCUGCCGCUUGACGACGACAGCGACGAGUACUCUACUCGUUAGUUUGGGGCUGUGCCGCCUCCUCCCGUUGCCGCUGCCAUCAAAAUGAAAAUAAUAAAGUCUAUUUUGCCGCCAGGCCCCAAAACAAGUGCCGCCAAUAAAGUCUACAAUUUUUUUUUUUAAUUCAAAAAUUUCAACAAUUAUUAAAAAAUAUAUAUAAAAAAAAAUAAUUUCUAUAAAUUUUUAAAGAAAAAUAAAUGAAUAUU